This is a non-coding RNA of Equus caballus (horse), 719 nucleotides long. The record is from RefSeq and is a predicted model, not a curated record. NCBI's taxonomy places the organism in Eukaryota, Metazoa, Chordata, Mammalia, Perissodactyla, Equidae.
GUUUUUGGCAACUACACUUUGCCCUAGGCUGAGCGUCAGGCCCUAUAAAGAGGUGCUCUGCUGCACGACUGCCAUCCUCCUGGUACUCGAGUCCCAACCUCCUUUGGAGAACGUGCUCCGAAGACUCCAGAAAGAUGUCUUCUCAACAGCAGCAGUGCAAGCAGCCCUGCCAGCCCCCUCCUGUGUGCCCACCUAAGUGCCCAGAGCCGUGCCCGCCCCCAAAAUGCCCUGAGCCGUGCCCACCCCCACAGAGGCAGCAGAAAUGCCCUCCUGUGCAACCUCCUCCACCAUGCCAGCAGAAGUGCCCGCCCAAGAGCAAGUAACAGCUUCAGCAGCAUCAGGAUCUGGAAAAGAGAAGGACCAUUGGCUCGCCUGCUUCCACAGCUCCACCUUCACCUUCUCUUCCGAGCCUAUCAUGGUGGCAGAAGCGGCUCCUCCACCCUUCAGCCUGGAAAAUGCCUGUGUGACCCCUGACAGCAAAAGGGUUCCUUCCUGAGGCUGUCACACUGCUCCUCUCCGGGAGGGAGCUGAGGAAGGGCAUCCUCAGCUGUGCCAGCAUCCCAGAGCUUCAGGAGGAAGAGCAGCAGCUCUCUUCCUGGGUGCCAGCAGGGGAGGCUCUUGAUGUCUUCUGUGUCUGUCUGUCCCCUGGGCAGGGGUUUGUAUCACCUGGCAAUUGUUCCUUUUCUUCCAUUUCCUGAAUAAAGUGCCAUUUUGUGGGA